Mesocricetus auratus (golden hamster) is the source of this 72-nucleotide small nucleolar RNA. The record is from Ensembl. NCBI's taxonomy places the organism in Eukaryota, Metazoa, Chordata, Mammalia, Rodentia, Cricetidae.
AGGAUAAAUGAUGAGCAUUGAUGGCAUAUGAGAUGAAUAUCAUGACUGCAAGUAUGAGAGUUUGAGAUCCAC